UACGGAGGGUGCGAGCGUUGUCCGGAAUCACUGGGCGUAAAGGGCGCGUAGGCGGCGCGGGGAGUCAACGGUGAAAGCUCGGCGCUCAACGCCGAGUCGGCCGUCGAUACUCCCGUGCUCGAGCACUGUAGAGGCAGGUGGAAUUCCCGGUGUAGUGGUGGAAUGCGUAGAUAUCGGGAGGAACACCAGUGGCGAAGGCGGUUGCCUGGAGCUUUGCUGACGCUGAGGCGCGAAAGCGUGGGGAGCGAACAGG
RNAcentral lists this ribosomal RNA (253 nucleotides) under uncultured bacterium. Its description in RNAcentral is "partial 16S ribosomal RNA". It matches the Rfam family "Bacterial small subunit ribosomal RNA", at positions 524 to 776 of the family's 1533-position model. The record is from RNAcentral.